CACCGCGUGAGUGAAGAAGGGUUUCGGCUCGUAAAGCUCUGUUGUUGGAGAAGAACGUGCGUGAGAGUAACUGUUCACGCAGUGACGGUAUCCAACCAGAAAGUCACGGCUAACUACGUGCCAGCAGCCGCGGUAAUACGUAGGUGGCAAGCGUUAUCCGGAUUUAUUGGGCGUAAAGCGAGCGCAGGCGGUUGCUUAGGUCUGAUGUGAAAGCCUUCGGCUUAACCGAAGAAGUGCAUCGGAAACCGGGCGACUUGAGUGCAGAAGAGGACGUGGAACUCCAUGUGUAGCGGUGGAAUGCGUAGAUAUAUGGAAGAACACCAGUGGCGAAGGCGGCUGUCUGGUCUGCAACUGACGCUGAGGCUCGAAAGCAUGGGUAGCGAACAGGAUUAGAUACCCUGGUAGUCCAUGCCGUAAACGAUGAGUGCUAGGUGUUGGAGGGUUUCCGCCCUUCAGUGCCGGAGCUAACGCAUUAAGCACUCCGCCUGGGGAGUACGACCGCAAGGUUGAAACUCAAAGGAAUUGACGGGGGCCCGCACAAGCGGUGGAGCAUGUGGUUUAAUUCGAAGCUACGCGAAGAACCUUACCAGGUCUUGACAUCUUGCGCUAACCUUAGAGAUAAGGCGUUCCCUUCGGGGACGCAAUGACAGGUGGUGCAUGGUCGUCGUCAGCUCGUGUCGUGAGAUGUUGGGUUAAGUCCCGCAACGAGCGCAACCCUUGUUACUAGUUGCCAGCAUUAGGUUGGGCACUCUAGUGAGACUGCCGGUGACAAC
Molecule: ribosomal RNA, 773 nt
Filed under: Limosilactobacillus reuteri
Lineage: Bacteria; Bacillati; Bacillota; Bacilli; Lactobacillales; Lactobacillaceae
Description: bacterial SSU rRNA
Rfam family: Bacterial small subunit ribosomal RNA
Source: RNAcentral